Molecule: long non-coding RNA, 337 nt
Filed under: Apteryx rowi (Okarito brown kiwi)
Lineage: Eukaryota; Metazoa; Chordata; Aves; Apterygiformes; Apterygidae
Description: lncRNA (ENSARWG00000015355.1)
Source: RNAcentral
CAGGAACUUGGAGAAAUGGGAUACGAAGUGAAUGCUGCAGUUACCACAGCAUCAUAUUUAUCAAAAGGUUUAAGACAUCAUGUUGGGCUGAAAUUCUAAGGAGACGCUCCUUGAAAUCCAUGGGAGAGGAAGAAGAAAGAAAGGUUGUUUCACUACGGCAUGGAGAGAGUCCUAACUGCAGUUGUGCAGCACUGGUGAUAAAAGGCAAAAAGAGCAUUCUGUCAGGCUCAUCAAAACUUCAGUCGGRUUCACUGUGUUGUCUGGACACCUGGGAUCCAGUUCAGGUAAGCACAUGCUCAAGUUCUCUCUUGUUCUGAGACCUCAUUCCAGAAUGAAA